This 370-nucleotide long non-coding RNA is filed under the name Carica papaya (papaya). RNAcentral describes it as "long non-coding RNA (CPAP_LNC011603)". The record is from RNAcentral. Lineage: Eukaryota; Viridiplantae; Streptophyta; Magnoliopsida; Brassicales; Caricaceae.
UUCUUUUUAUUUUUCUUCUUCUUAUUUUUCUUCUUUCUUUCUCCUUUCUUCUUCUUCUUCUUCUCUCUCUACCUGACCAUGACUCUUCUCUCUCUUCUUCUCCUUUUUCUUUCGAUCAUGCGCCACCGUGUAGCACAACCUGCAUAACCCUCCUCCUCUCUCUUUCUCUGUCGACUGCGGUGUCGCGCAAUGCGGUGAGACCCACCUCCUCUCUAUAUCUCCAUCGUCGUUCCCUCUCUUGGCUAUGACCUUCCUCUCUCACUCCUCUCUCUCUCUUCUCUCUUCGUUUUUUUUUCUUUCUUUUUCUGUUACUUAAUUAUACAUACAUAUAUAUUAUAUAUAUGGUCAAGUGUUUUCUUCUUCUGCUUCC